GUUUGAUCCUGGCUCAGGAUGAACGCUAGCGGCAGGCUUAAUACAUGCAAGUCGAACGGGAUUCGGGGUAGCAAUACUUUGAUGAGAGUGGCGCACGGGUGCGUAACGCGUAUGCAACCUACCUUUAACAGGGGAAUAGCCCCGAGAAAUCGGGAUUAAUACUCCGUAACAUUGCGGUGUGGCAUCACACUGCACUUAAAGCUGAGGCGGUUAAAGAUGGGCAUGCGUGACAUUAGCUAGUUGGUGAGGUAACGGCUCACCAAGGCAACGAUGUCUAGGGGUCCUGAGAGGGUUAUCCCCCACACUGGUACUGAGACACGGACCAGACUCCUACGGGAGGCAGCAGUAAGGAAUAUUGGUCAAUGGGCGCAAGCCUGAACCAGCCAUGCCGCGUGCAGGAAGACGGCCCUAUGGGUUGUAAACUGCUUUUGUCAGGGAAUAAACCCCCGCUCGUGAGCGGGGCUGAAGGUACCUGAAGAAUAAGCAUCGGCUAACUCCGUGCCAGCAGCCGCGGUAAUACGGAGGAUGCAAGCGUUAUCCGGAUUCAUUGGGUUUAAAGGGUGCGCAGGCGGAUUGGUAAGUCAGGGGUGAAAUCCCACAGCUCAACUGUGGAACUGCCUUUGAUACUGUCAGUCUAGAGUAUAGUUGAAGUUGGCGGAAUGUGUCAUGUAGCGGUGAAAUGCUUAGAUAUGACACAGAACACCGAUCGCGAAGGCAGCUAGCUAAGCUAUAACUGACGCUCAUGCACGAAAGCGUGGGGAUCAAACAGGAUUAGAUACCCUGGUAGUCCACGCUGUAAACGAUGAUUACUCGAUGUUGGCGAUACACAGUCAGCGUCUGAGCGAAAGCAAUAAGUAAUCCACCUGGGGAGUACGAUCGCAAGAUUGAAACUCAAAGGAAUUGACGGGGGCCCGCACAAGCGGAGGAGCAUGUGGUUUAAUUCGAUGA
RNAcentral lists this ribosomal RNA (948 nucleotides) under uncultured Lentimicrobium sp. RNAcentral describes it as "bacterial SSU rRNA". It matches the Rfam family "Bacterial small subunit ribosomal RNA", at positions 11 to 957 of the family's 1533-position model. Lineage: Bacteria; Pseudomonadati; Bacteroidota; Bacteroidia; Bacteroidales; Lentimicrobiaceae. The record is from RNAcentral.